UACAAAAGCAGAAGUCCACUGCAGAAACGAGGGUUUGGGGGAAACCGAAAGCUCAGACAACGCUAGAGAAGGAGGCAGCAGUGGGAAGGGUUGGGUGUUGCCCCCCUCCGUAGCCCAUGAUCUCUGAUUUCCCCCCGAAAUUCAACACCCCUUACAUCUGGGAUCGAACUCCGAUCUUCUGAUCAUCCGAUUGCUUGUUGACUGGACUGCUUCUUCUAUAAUCUUUUCUUUUUGGGGCAUGUAUAAAACCUUUGAGCUUGGGAAUGGACUCGGGACCCGGUGCAGCCUUAAGAGUGGGAUGAAUUGGGCCGAUUAGUGUACAUUCUUAACAGGUUUUCUGGACGCAAUGGAGAAGAUAAAUGGUGGCUUAAGGUCUCAAAUUUUUGAUGCUUCUAAAGGCAGGAACUCGUUUAGACCUUUGUGGUGAUGCUUCUAAAGGGCACAGGAACUUGUAUAGACCUUUGUGGAACAAUUGGGUUCCACCCAAAGUGUUCUUUUGGCUGGAAGUUUUGAACAGGAGAAUUCCUUUGAUAAUGGACGGGAGAAUUCCACCUGAGUAGGGUAUGAUCGGUUUGGGUAUAUAAAUGGAUAUUGGAACCGGUUAUGGGUUCAGGUAUCAAUACCCAAUUUUAAAAAAUAUGUUUGGUUUGUAAUUUGUAAAAAAAUUAAAAAAAUAUCAAUUAUAAUAACAUAAAUUCUCUUAAAGUAUAAAGUAUUUGCUUUAUGAUAUGCAUUUUUAAAAAUCUUUAAUAAAAAAAUUGUGAAGUAAAUAUAAAAAUGUACUUUUUUAGGUAUUCUAUCGAGUAUUAAAAAAACCGGUAACGGGUAUUUUUCCAGUAUAAAACGGGUACGGUUUCGGAUACGAGUAUUGAUCUCAAAAUGUAUACUCUAUCCUACCUAGGGGUAGGAUAGGGUUCGGUUACGGGUAUAGAAAACCCCGGAUUAAAAAAUAACCGGUUCUGAGUUUUUUCCUCGGGUCCAGGUAUAGGUUUUUUGUGCACCUAUAGUCCCAGUCUUAUGUAGAUCAUAUUCAUCAUGAAACGUAAAUGAACCGUAGAGGCUACAUUAUGAGGAAGAAACAACAAUGUUUAGAGGUGAUGAUAAAUUUUUCGUCUGAAUGGAUCAAACGAAAGUUGAAACAUACCGUAUGUUGGUGGGGUAAUCUCCAGAGGCUUCUAUUUGAAGCAAACGUGAUGUUUGCAGCAAUGGCGGUUUGUUCUUCUGUGUUUUGAUUAUUACCAUAUAUGAGCCUAGAGUUCUUUUUCAGGUUUUCGUUUGACUUUUUACAAAACGUUUUCGUUUGACUUUUUAUAAAAGAAAAUUUUGUUCGAGUUAAGUAAAUGUAUUGCAACGAUUUGUCUAAAGCUAUAUGAUUAUCAUUAAACCCUAGAUGAAUUAUGCUAUAAAGUUAGUGAAUUUGCUCAGAGGAUGCUUAGGAUUAUCACUAA
Helianthus annuus (common sunflower) is the source of this 1448-nucleotide long non-coding RNA. RefSeq lists it as uncharacterized. NCBI's taxonomy places the organism in Eukaryota, Viridiplantae, Streptophyta, Magnoliopsida, Asterales, Asteraceae. The record is from RefSeq and is a predicted model, not a curated record. The transcript has 2 exons.